AUUGAACGCUGGCGGCAUGCUUUACGCAUGCAAGUCGAACGGCAGCGCGGGCUUCGGCCUGGCGGCGAGUGGCGAACGGGUGAGUAAUGCAUCGGAACGUGCCCAGUAGUGGGGGAUAGCCCGGCGAAAGCCGGAUUAAUACCGCAUACGACCUGAGGGUGAAAGCGGGGGACCGAAAGGCCUCGCGCUAUUGGAGCGGCCGAUGUCGGAUUAGCUAGUUGGUGGGGUAAAGGCUUACCAAGGCGACGAUCCGCAGCUGGUCUGAGAGGACGACCAGCCACACUGGGACUGAGACACGGCCCAGACUCCUACGGGAGGCAGCAGUGGGGAAUUUUGGACAAUGGGGGCAACCCUGAUCCAGCCAUGCCGCGUGCGGGAAGAAGGCCUUCGGGUUGUAAACCGCUUUUGUUCGGGAAGAAAUCCUCUGGGCUAAUACCCCGGGGGGAUGACGGUACCGGAAGAAUAAGCACCGGCUAACUACGUG
RNAcentral lists this ribosomal RNA (484 nucleotides) under uncultured bacterium. Its description in RNAcentral is "partial 16S ribosomal RNA". It matches the Rfam family "Bacterial small subunit ribosomal RNA", at positions 28 to 507 of the family's 1533-position model. The record is from RNAcentral.